This 368-nucleotide ribosomal RNA is filed under the name Klebsiella pneumoniae. Its description in RNAcentral is "bacterial LSU rRNA". It matches the Rfam family "Bacterial large subunit ribosomal RNA", at positions 2145 to 2513 of the family's 2925-position model. Lineage: Bacteria; Pseudomonadati; Pseudomonadota; Gammaproteobacteria; Enterobacterales; Enterobacteriaceae. The record is from RNAcentral.
AGGUGGGAGGCUUUGAAGCGUGGACGCCAGUCUGCGUGGAGCCAACCUUGAAAUACCACCCUUUAAUGUUUGAUGUUCUAACGUUGGCCCCUUACCGGGUUGCGGACAGUGUCUGGUGGGUAGUUUGACUGGGGCGGUCUCCUCCCAAAGCGUAACGGAGGAGCACGAAGGUUAGCUAAUCCUGGUCGGACAUCAGGAGGUUAGUGCAAUGGCAUAAGCUAGCUUGACUGCGAGCGUGACGGCGCGAGCAGGUGCGAAAGCAGGUCAUAGUGAUCCGGUGGUUCUGAAUGGAAGGGCCAUCGCUCAACGGAUAAAAGGUACUCCGGGGAUAACAGGCUGAUACCGCCCAAGAGUUCAUAUCGACGGCG